RNAcentral lists this ribosomal RNA (497 nucleotides) under uncultured bacterium. RNAcentral's name for it is "partial 16S ribosomal RNA". It matches the Rfam family "Bacterial small subunit ribosomal RNA", at positions 28 to 507 of the family's 1533-position model. The record is from RNAcentral.
GAUGAACGCUGGCGGCGUGCCUAAUACAUGCAAGUCGAGCGAACAGACGAGGAGCUUGCUCCUCUGACGUUAGCGGCGGACGGGUGAGUAACACGUGGAUAACCUACCUAUAAGACUGGGAUAACUUCGGGAAGCCGGAGCUAAUACCGGAUAAUAUAUUGAACCGCAUGGUUCAAUAGUGAAAGACGGUUUUGCUGUCACUUAUAGAUGGAUCCGCGCCGCAUUAGCUAGUUGGUAAGGUAACGGCUUACCAAGGCGACGAUGCGUAGCCGACCUGAGAGGGUGAUCGGCCACACUGGAACUGAGACACGGUCCAGACUCCUACGGGAGGCGGCAGUAGGGAAUCUUCCGCAAUGGGCGAAAGCCUGACGGAGCAACGCCGCGUGAGUGAUGAAGGUCUUCGGAUCGUAAAACUCUGUUAUUAGGGAAGAACAAAUGUGUAAGUAACUAUGCACGUCUUGACGGUACCUAAUCAGAAAGCCACGGCUAACUACGUG